UACGUAGGGGGCAAGCGUUGCCCGGAUUUACUGGGCGUAAAGGGAGCGUAGGUGGAUAUUUAAGUGGGAUGUGAAAUCCCCAGGCUUAACCUGGGGGCUGCAUUCGAAACUGGAUGUCUAGAGUGCAGGAGAGGAGAGUGGAAUUCCUAGUGUAGCGGUGAAAUGCGUAGAGAUUAGGAAGAACACCAGUGGCGAAGGCGACUCUCUGGACUGUAACUGACACUGAGGCUCGAAAGCGUGGGGAGCAAACAGG
RNAcentral lists this ribosomal RNA (253 nucleotides) under uncultured bacterium. RNAcentral describes it as "partial 16S ribosomal RNA". It matches the Rfam family "Bacterial small subunit ribosomal RNA", at positions 524 to 776 of the family's 1533-position model. The record is from RNAcentral.